UGAGGAAUAUUGGUCAAUGGGCGCAAGCCUGAACCAGCCAUGCCGCGUGCAGGAUGACGGUCCUAUGGAUUGUAAACUGCUUUUAUACGGGAAGAAACAGCGGAACGUGUUCCGCCUUGACGGUACCGUAGGAAUAAGGAUCGGCUAACUCCGUGCCAGCAGCCGCGGUAAUACGGAGGAUCCAAGCGUUAUCCGGAAUCAUUGGGUUUAAAGGGUCCGUAGGCGGCCCUGUAAGUCAGUGGUGAAAUCUCCCGGCUCAACCGGGAAAUUGCCAUUGAUACUGCAGGGCUUGAAUUACUGGGAAGUAACUAGAAUAUGUAGUGUAGCGGUGAAAUGCUUAGAGAUUACAUGGAAUACCAAUUGCGAAGGCAGGUUACUACCAGUGGAUUGACGCUGAUGGACGAAAGCGUGGGUAGCGAACA
RNAcentral lists this ribosomal RNA (422 nucleotides) under uncultured Flavobacterium sp. RNAcentral's name for it is "bacterial SSU rRNA". It matches the Rfam family "Bacterial small subunit ribosomal RNA", at positions 355 to 774 of the family's 1533-position model. Lineage: Bacteria; Pseudomonadati; Bacteroidota; Flavobacteriia; Flavobacteriales; Flavobacteriaceae. The record is from RNAcentral.